This 1344-nucleotide long non-coding RNA is filed under the name Chrysemys picta bellii (western painted turtle). RNAcentral describes it as "lncRNA (ENSCPBG00000017323.1)". The record is from RNAcentral. Lineage: Eukaryota; Metazoa; Chordata; Testudines; Emydidae.
UAGUCCACUCCCAAUAAUGGAUGAGGAGGUGUCAAUUCCAGGAGAGGAAAAGCUGCUUCUGUAAUGAGCCAGCCACUCCCAGUCCCUAUUCAAGCCCAGAUAUCACUUGUCCCAUAACCUCAGCCGUACAGAACGCAAUGCCAUCCACAGCAUCAGAAACAACUCUGACAUUAUCAUCAAAGGGGCUGACAAAGGAGGUGCUGUAGUCAUAAUGAAUAGGUCGGAUUAUGAGCAGGAGGCUGCCAGGCAACUCUCCAAGAGCACAUUCUACAGGCCACUAUCCUCUGAUCCCACUGAGGAAUACCAAAAGAAACUACACUAUCUGCUCAAGAAAUUCCCAGCUACAGUACAGGAACAAAUCUACAUGGACACACCCCCAGAACCCCGACCAGGGGUAUUCUAUCUGCUACCCAAGAUCCAUAAACCCAGAAACCCUGGACGCCCCAUCAUGUCAGGCAUUGGCACUCAUACAGCAGGAUUAUCUGGCUAUUUGGACUCUCUCCUCAGACCCUAUGCUACCAGCACUCCCAGCUAUCUUCGAGACACCACCGACUUCCUGAGGAAACAACAAUGCAUUGGUGUUCUUCCUGAAAACACCAUCCUGGCCACCAUGGAUGUAGAAGCACUUUACACCAAUAUUCCACAUGAGGAUGGACUACAAGCUGUCAGGAACAGUAUCCCUGAUGAGGCCACAGCAAGCCUGGUGGCUGAGCUUUGUGACUUUGUCCUCACCCACAAUCACUUCAGAUUUGGUUACAACUUAUACCUGCAAGUCAGUGGCACUGCUAUGGGUACCCACAUGGCCCCACAGUAUGCCAACAUUUUUAUGGCUGACUUAGAACAAUGCUUCCUCAGCUCUCGUCCCCUAGUGCCCCUCCUCUACUUGCGCUACAUUGAUGACAUCUUCAUCAUAUGGACCCACGGAAAGGAGGCCCUUGAAGAAUUCCACCUGGACUUCAACAAUUUCCACCCCACCAUCAACCUCAGCCUGGACCAGUCCACAAAAGAGAUCCACUACCUGGACAGUACGGUGCAAAUAAGUGAUGGUCACAUAAACACCACCCUAUACCGGAAACCUACUGACCGCUAUACGUACCUACAUGCCUCCAGCUUCCAUCCAAGACAUAUCACAUGAUCCAUUGUCUACAGCCAAGCCCUAAGAUACAACCGAAUUUGCUCCAACCCCUCAGACAGAGACAAACACCUACAAGAUCUUUAUCAAGCAUUCGUAAAACUACAAUACCCACCUGGGGAAGUGAGGAAACAGAUUGACAGAGCAAGACGGGUACCCAGAAAUCACCUACUACAGGACAGGCCCAACAAGGACAAUAACAGAACACCACU